UUGAACGCUGGCGGAAUGCUUUACACAUGCAAGUCGAGCGGCAGCGCGGGGGCAACCCUGGCGGCGAGCGGCGAACGGGUGAGUAAUACAUCGGAACGUACCCAGUUGUGGGGGAUAGCCCGGCGAAAGCCGGAUUAAUACCGCAUAAGUCCUGAGGGAGAAAGCGGGGGACCGUAAGGCCUCGCGCGAUUGGAGCGGCCGAUGUUCGAUUAGCUAGUUGGUGGGGUAAAGGCCUACCAAGGCGACGAUCCGUAGCUGGUCUGAGAGGAUGAUCAGCCACACUGGGACUGAGACACGGCCCAGACUCCUACGGGAGGCAGCAGUGGGGAAUUUUGGACAAUGGGCGCAAGCCUGAUCCAGCCAUGCCGCGUGAGUGAAGAAGGCCUUCGGGUUGUAAAGCUCUUUCAGACGGAAAGAAAUCGGGCGGGUGAAUAGCCUGCCUGGAUGACGGUACUGUCAGAAGAAGCACCGGCUAACUACGU
RNAcentral lists this ribosomal RNA (482 nucleotides) under uncultured bacterium. RNAcentral's name for it is "bacterial SSU rRNA". It matches the Rfam family "Bacterial small subunit ribosomal RNA", at positions 29 to 506 of the family's 1533-position model. The record is from RNAcentral.